RNAcentral lists this long non-coding RNA (382 nucleotides) under Dromaius novaehollandiae (emu). Its description in RNAcentral is "lncRNA (ENSDNVG00000016848.1)". The record is from RNAcentral. Lineage: Eukaryota; Metazoa; Chordata; Aves; Casuariiformes; Dromaiidae.
AAAUUCCUCGUCUUGUGACGUGUCCUCUGCAGAAAGUUUAGAGGUUUCUAGUUGCAAAAUGCAACCUGCUGCCGUGCUCUUUUGUACUCCACUGUGUGUGCCUAYGUAAGAAAAACUUGACUUCAGGCUCGAAUCCUUGUGAAAACUUGCAGUGCGUUUCUAAUGUCCAGAUUUGAUAUCCCAAACUGCAUUUCAAAUUUCUGAAAGAUUGUGUGACAUUUUAGUAAGCCUUGGAUCAUACCCAGUAUUCUGGUUGCUGGAGAGAUUCCUCCUUCUGCAGUGACACUUUCUUCUGUGUUAUUCUUCACACCAUUACUUCUGGCUCAUAGACAUCUAAGAACUUGGAACGAGCAGAUGAGUGUGGGAAGACCCUGCUAGCUUG